This 414-nucleotide ribosomal RNA is filed under the name uncultured Singulisphaera sp. RNAcentral describes it as "bacterial SSU rRNA". It matches the Rfam family "Bacterial small subunit ribosomal RNA", at positions 355 to 774 of the family's 1533-position model. Lineage: Bacteria; Pseudomonadati; Planctomycetota; Planctomycetia; Isosphaerales; Isosphaeraceae. The record is from RNAcentral.
UCGAGAAUCUUCGGCAAUGGGCGCAAGCCUGACCGAGCGACGCCGCGUGGAGGAUGAAGGCCUUCGGGUUGUAAACUCCUGUCGAGGGGGAAAAAGGGUCGAAAGGCCUUGAUUGAUCCCUGGAGGAAGCACGGGCUAAGUUCGUGCCAGCAGCCGCGGUAAGACGAACCGUGCGAACGUUAUUCGGAAUCACUGGGCUUAAAGCGCGUGUAGGCGGAUGAGCACGUCUGUCGCUGAAAUCCCCCGGCUCAACCGGGGAACGGGCGGAGAUACGGCUCAUCUGGAGGGGCGUAGGGGGACCUGGAACUUCCGGUGGAGCGGUGAAAUGCGUUGAGAUCGGAAGGAACGCCCGUGGCGAAAGCGAGGUCCUGGACGCCUACUGACGCUGAGACGCGAAAGCCAGGGGAGCGAACG